Molecule: ribosomal RNA, 253 nt
Filed under: uncultured bacterium
Lineage: Bacteria
Description: partial 16S ribosomal RNA
Rfam family: Bacterial small subunit ribosomal RNA
Source: RNAcentral
UACGAAGGGUGCUAGCGUUGUUCGGAAUCACUGGGCGUAAAGCGCGCGUAGGUGGCUUUGCAAGUCAGGGGUGAAAUCCCACGGCUCAACCGUGGAACUGCCUUUGAAACUGCAAAGCUGGAGUGUUGGAGGGGAUAGCGGAAUUGCUAAUGUAGAGGUGAAAUUCGUAGAUAUUAGCAGGAACACCGGUGGCGAAGGCGGCUAUCUGGACAACAACUGACACUGAGGCGCGAAAGUGUGGGGAUCAAACAGG